This 177-nucleotide ribosomal RNA is filed under the name uncultured Lactobacillus sp. RNAcentral's name for it is "partial 16S ribosomal RNA". The stretch from base 44 to 177 matches the Rfam family "Bacterial small subunit ribosomal RNA", at positions 401 to 527 of the family's 1533-position model. Lineage: Bacteria; Bacillati; Bacillota; Bacilli; Lactobacillales; Lactobacillaceae. The record is from RNAcentral.
AAAACCGCUUUGCCAUGGGUCCAGCCAAAUGGAGCUCAUACACGUGAGUGAAGAAGGGUUUCGGCUCGUCAAGCUCUGUUGUUGGAGAAGAACGUGCGUGAGAGUAACUGUUCACGCAGUGACGGUAUCCAACCAGAAAGUCACGGCUAACUACGUGCCAGCAGCCGCGGUAAUACA